ACAUACUGCAUUUCUUUGAAAGCUGACACCUUUACUACUCUAUAAACCUCUUUUUAAAUAUAUCAGAACCUCUCUGAUGUGUUUCUAUAACUGAUCUGCAGGUAGAACAUGAACGUUUUAACCUGCACAAGUGAUGUGGUCUUCCAUCUGCUCGCCACCAGAGCUCACCUUCUUAUUAUAUUGACGCUCACGCUACACAGACUGUUUCACAUCAUCCUGGACUACAUUUCCCAUGUUCCAUUGCACUGAUUACACCCUCACCUGCAGCCAAUCACACACACCUUUAAUAGGGAAUGUGAAGGUACGUCACGCAGUGUUGCAUUAUGGGACGUGGGCGCCAUGUUUAGAGGCACGAUCUCUGUUCACGUUUUCGCCAACCGUUGCUAAGACAUUUAAUUUUGGGUGUGUUCGGCUAAAACGAGGUAAAAUUGAAGAACGGAAGAAAUGGAGAAGUUGAAAGAAAAAGAGAAGGGAAUCGGGAGAAACUAAAUGCCACUGCCAAAAAACUUUAUUUAGACAAACUGACCGAGAUAAACAAGAUAGAUCCAUAUGAUUUAGCAGCCCAAGACUGGAUUACGGAUCCAGACGCACUACCUCCGCUCACAUAUAUGGACAUCGUCAAUUACCUCGUUUUUGGAUUGACUGCGUACACUUUGCAGGAGUUUAAGAGCUAUAAAUCCCUUCAAGCUCAUGAACAGUUUUGCAGCGGCUGGGUACAAGACCUCCUCAUUCACAGGCCGCCUAACUGCAAGAGCACAGUCGUUCUGGCAAAGGUGAUGCACUCCCAGCGCCUUAGUGAAGUUCCUCUGAAGGCUUGGGUUAUCAUCAACAACAAUGGUGAAGUUUCCUCAGCCCACUGUACGUGUAUGGCUGGAGUUGCAGAGACAUGCACCCAUGUUGGGGCCUUGCUUUUUAAAAUGAAAGCAACUGUCCGGUGCAGAGAAAUGAGGACUGUCACAGACAUGUCUGCAUACUGGAUCUUACAGAGUAAUGUGAACAAAGUUCACGGUGAGGUAAGCCAUAAGAUUAAUUACACCUCUGCUGUUGCCAUGCAAAAAUCAAUGAACUCUCUGUUGGAUGGUGAGACUGACAACAAGCAUGGAUUGAGGACUUGUACCAAGACGAUCCCUACACCAUCACCUACACCUUCAGAGCUAAGACAGUUUUACACUGAUCUUCAUAAAACAGGUGGCAAGUCUGCUAUACUGAGUGUGCUGCCAGAUAACUGCGAGGAGUUCAGAGAUCCUGUGCAGCCUGUCACACAAUUAAAAACCCUUCACCGCCUACAUGACCCCAGGCUUGUUGGAUGUGAUUUAUCAGUAUUGGAACAGCACUGCCAGGCACUACAAAAACAUGCUGAUGUUUCAGAGGCACAAGCUGUAGAGAUUGAGGAGAGGACAAGGAAACAGCAGAAAUCUUCAUUGUGGUUUGCUGCUGGAGCAGGCAGGGUCCCCGCCUCGAAUAUGCAUGCUGUUUAUGCUACUGAUAUCAAAGCACCAGCUCUGUCAACUGUAAAAGAGGUUUGUUAUCCUAAGGACAGCAAAUGUAGCACAGCUGAUGUCAAUUGGGGCAUUACACAUGAAGAGCAGGCAUUGAGAACAUAUGUGGAAAAAAACAAGAGAAAACACAAUGGCCACGAAGUUGCCACAUGUUUUUUUUUUUUAUAA
This is a long non-coding RNA of Carassius auratus (goldfish), 1667 nucleotides long. The record is from Ensembl. NCBI's taxonomy places the organism in Eukaryota, Metazoa, Chordata, Actinopteri, Cypriniformes, Cyprinidae.